CAGAUGCGAGGAGAACCAGUCAGAUGCAAAGGAGCUGGUUCAUUGUGAGGAUUAACCCUGACAACAGCAAGUGCUCCUCAAAGUUACAGGUCAGCAAAAGAAGUGGGAAGAUGCAUGGUGCAAAGGAAGAACUCUGGCCUGAACCCUCAUGUAUCCUCCUUUAUUAAGGAGUUUCUGGAUUUCAGCUGGCAAAACUAUUAAGCUACUAUGAGCAAAUACGUUCUACACAGGAGUUUUCUGAAUUUGUACAUUUUAAAGAUUGUUCUUAUGACUGAAUCUGUUCAUGUCUGUUGUUUUAAAAUGCUCUUAAUAUGAAACUUUUAUGUAUAAAUGAAAUGUUUUCAAGUUUUUGGAAAACUGAAAGUACAAUCUGCAAGAAUAUUAAAAUGUUAUUUCAAGUAUUACAAUUGAACAAUUAAAUCAAUAAAAGAAGUUAAACAGUAUUUUGUUUCUUUUUAUAGAUUUUACUACUGAGACCUGUUGAAA
Cyprinus carpio carpio is the source of this 486-nucleotide long non-coding RNA. The record is from Ensembl. NCBI's taxonomy places the organism in Eukaryota, Metazoa, Chordata, Actinopteri, Cypriniformes, Cyprinidae.